AGAUAGCACGACAGGAGAUUAAACAGAGACGAAGGAAAACCAAGAACAUCGUAUCUUCUCGGCCUUUCCCAGGAAGAAUGGCACAGAGCACACAUUCAUUCUCCAAUGAGUACUUGUCUUUCUAGUCUUCACCAUCUACCGCUUUCCUCUCCUUGUAUUCACACCCGUUAAUCAGAUUCCAACCACUAACCAUUUACUACAAGCCCCUACUAACAGUAGAUUAGCCUUCUUCAUCAUAAUCUUC
Molecule: unclassified non-coding RNA, 244 nt
Filed under: Hevea brasiliensis (rubber tree)
Lineage: Eukaryota; Viridiplantae; Streptophyta; Magnoliopsida; Malpighiales; Euphorbiaceae
Source: RNAcentral